UGCAUCGAACUGCUUUCCUCACUUUCGAUCAAUUGUUGCUCCACGAAGUAACGUUGGAUGCAAAAGCGGGUUCCUGUGUUGCAUACCUAAUGUAAUGGAAAUAUGUGACUUUCUUGUGCCUUUCAUCAGAACAUCCAUUUGGAUGGUCGGGUGGACUAGAUAGUAGGGCUUGUGUUCCACGAGCACAUCUCCCAAGAUUGUUCGGAUGGACCAUGAGUGCCUACUUGUUCUCUCGGAUGCGGAACUUGAUUCACGGGCAUGGGGUCAUCGGCCCUUGUUCCCAAAUCUUUAAGCGUUUAUCGCUUUACUGGAAUGACGCUCCUGCCUCGUAUUUGAUCACGUGAAGCUCUCGAGCUCCAUGAUGGAUCAAUGCUUGGCGGACGUCGUGAAGGAAUGC
This 397-nucleotide unclassified non-coding RNA is filed under the name Lophostemon suaveolens. RNAcentral describes it as "partial external transcribed spacer". The record is from RNAcentral. Lineage: Eukaryota; Viridiplantae; Streptophyta; Magnoliopsida; Myrtales; Myrtaceae.